UAUUUCCCUACUUUUUAUCAACAGCUAUGCGAUAUAAUUAUUUUCUGAGUCAGAGGUUAUCUUUAAAGAAACGGAAAUAAUGGGACGGGUGACGUCAUCGAUCGCAGCAAAGUUCGCGUUCUUCCGACCGACCCCGCCAUCGUACACUGUGGUGGCAGACGAGUCGUGUGGUGGAGCUGUUUGCAUAACAGAGGUUCCACGGAGGGAUGACGUUGAAGUUUUGAAUCGGGGCGGUGCACGUCACCCAACCCAACGCCACCGAUACACUGCUGUACUCCCACGGAAACGCUGCCGAUUUGGGGCAGAUGUAUGAAUUAUUGUCGAGCUCAGCCUUCACCUUCGCAUAAAUCUCAUGGGGUAAUUUUGAAUUUUCAGCUGCUAAUUUUGCUAAUUGGUGGAUGGUUAUGAUCUGAUUUGGUUAAUUAAAAACUUGGUAGGAUUUGGUUGUUUAAUUUGAUGGGAUGCCAGCGAUGAAAUAAUAGUUUUUUCUUUUGCUUGAUCUGCUACAACUUUGCCCUUUAUAAUUCUCUUGAGGUCUUUUUCUUUGGAUGAUUUAUAACGGACUAAUGGCGGUUUGCAUCAUGUAUUGAUCAAUGAGGCAAUUAAACUCUUAACCAGAAAAUUCUAGAAUUUAAAAGAGAAUAUAAUUUAAUAUGGACAGAGAGGGUAAAAACGAGAUAGGUUGAUGGCGUAUAUUUUGUGAAUAUAGUUUUAACAUCGAUGCAUUUGACGUUGAAUGUCUAUGUAAAACUUACUGAAAAUAACAAUCUACCUAGUAUGCCAUUAUGGAAUCUGUGUGAAACCUAAUUACUCGGCUUUGAAAUGGCAAAUAAAGAGUUUUGUACAUUCUUGGAUUCCUCUUCAUCAUCUAGCUAAUAACUACAAUAAAUUUGGUAAUUGUUAUGAAAAUGAAAAAAUUUUCCCCAAUAACUCGUGAACAGUGUUUGACUGUAUACUAUUGCUUGCUGAUUUCCCUUUUUUUUCCUG
RNAcentral lists this long non-coding RNA (987 nucleotides) under Olea europaea (common olive). Its description in RNAcentral is "long non-coding RNA (OEUR_LNC012697)". Lineage: Eukaryota; Viridiplantae; Streptophyta; Magnoliopsida; Lamiales; Oleaceae. The record is from RNAcentral.